CAACGCUGGAUCCUUAACCCACUGAGCGAGGCCAGAGAUUGAACCCACACCCUCAUGGAUACAGUGCCACGGGAACUCCCCUCCUCUUUUUUUUUUUAGUUAAAAUUUUUUUUGUUCCACACCCAUGAUAUGCAGAAGUUCCCAGGCCAGGGACUGAACCUGAGCCACAGCAAGGACCUGGACACAGCAGUGACAGUCCUCAGUCUGCUGAGCCACCAGGGAACUCCUUUCAAUGUGGCUGCCCUGGGAAGGAACAAGAUCUUGGGAGACGUGUCGUUCAUCAUCGGAGGCAAUUUCCAAAGAGGGCUCAGGGCUGAGGGCUCUCCCAGUGGCUGGGAGAACGAGUCCUCCAGGCAUGAGGGGGCUUGGGCGAUGGAUGCAUCAGAGCACCCACGACAAGGGGUGGGGUAAUAAGCUGGUAUGUGUCUAGAAGGAAGGUACCAGGUUGGGGAAAGAUGAAGAGCAAAGCAGAUGGAACAUUCAGGAGUGGGGGUGGGCAUCAAUUUCUAAUAAUCAAGGGUUGACUGUAGUUUAUAGAUUGACUUGUUAAAUGGACAGAGUGCUCUGAGGCCCCUGGAGAUGCUUCUUUCUAAUGCAUGCUAGAAGGCAUCUUCCAGCCCGGCCUGAGCACUCCUAUAUGGAUUGAGUUCAAUUAUUAAUUGGGAGGGAUGGGGGCUGGUGGCUAAUGCGACCUAAUAGCACAGGCUGGGUAAUUGUGCUCUCGGUAAUGUGUGUUCAGAGCUCGGGUUCGGAUGGUAUCGACACAGCCUGCUCCUUGCUUUGUCUGCACACCUCUGUGCUGUAAUGCAUUGAGGUCCCAGCGAAAUGCACCAAACCGCUUGUGUGACUUAAUGCAUCUGCGUAACAUUAAUGCUUCCUGUUAAUGUGUCACACGGAUGAUAAAGAUGUGCCUGGAAAGGAGCUGGUGGGAAGGCGGUUUUUAAAAGGAAACUUGCAGGCUUUGUGGCACUAUCACCAUUCCCCUAGGGGUUUUUGUGGCCAAUUUAGAACUACUUGGCAUGAAGUUCUUACACGUGCAUCUUCCUUCAGAGAGGCAGCUUGGCUUUUGGUCCAGAAAUGACAGGAGUGUUUACAUUUUUCAUCUGAAAACAGAUCUCAGGGGAACUAAUUGUUUGGGCAGCUUUGCACUGGGAUCUGAAGAAAAAAAAAAAAACAAACCCUCUAGGCUAUGUGAUUAAUGCUAAUUCUUAUGACUCCCUUUGUCUCAAACCUGCUAGCGGGAAAUUUGCAUUUGCUAAAAAGUCUAGCUUGUGGCACCAGAAACCGAUUUGGUCCAAAGCAGAUUGAAAAUAUUGAGAGAACAAAUAUUAUUUUCCAAACUUCUGUCAUUCUGUCGUAUUGAAUCACUGUUGCAUCGGAAAUCUAGAUUUUUAUAUUUUGAAUCUCCAGUCUUAACAUUUGAAUACUUGAGUUUAGAAUAAAAUUCAAACUUCUUUUGGCUUAAGGAAUAAAUUAUAGAACCUUAUGAUCUCUGUUGUUAAUGAACUAUCCAUUUAAGAAGUAAAAUUGGAUUAGCCAUGUUUAAGACAAGCCAGUCAAAGACAUUUAGAUUUUUCCAGAAUUAAUGGGGCCAUGCUAUUACCUGAAGCCUACAGGUCUCUGAACAAAAGGAAUGGCAAGAUACAGAAGUUGGUUAUCUCAAAGCUUUGGCUCUUCCAUUUCCACACUGGACACAUUGUCUCUAGGUAUUUGUGUCCCUUUGCAAUUUCUUUGCUUUUUAACUUACCUUUCAUUCUUACUUUUUUAAUUAAAAAUGCUAGGAGUUUCCACUGCAGCCCAGUGAGUUAAGAAGUUGAUUGCAGUGGCUUGGGUUGCCUCAGAGGCUCAGGUUCGAUGCCUGGCCCGGUGGAAGGAUUGGACAUUGGUACAGCUGUGGUUCAGAUUUAAUCUCUGACCUGGGAACUUCCUUAUUCUGAGGGUGUGGCCAAAAACAUUCUAGCCGCCAGUCAAAAAUAGCUAAGUGUGACCCUAUUUCAGAUCUGACUCUUCUAGAAAAGUGGCCUUUUGGGAAAAGCUGCAUUGGAACAGAAGAAUCAAUUUCUUUCCGGCACUAGAAACAUCGAGGCUGUCAUCUGAUUCUUGUAGAAAAAUGAGCAAGUCUCCCCAAAUGGAUUCCCUCCUCUCAAGGAUGACAAAAUCUGAAGGGCCAUGGACAAAUGAGGUCACUAACAUCUCAGGGUCUUCUGGUGAAGCAAAGAGUAUUUCUUUGGAGUGAAUUAAGUGGACACACGGAGCUCUAGGGAUAGACUAGAUUUUGCAAAUAAAAUUAUUUGCACCUACCUAAGACGCUACUGGUCCACUCUCAGAAGGAUAUUCGUGGGGACGUGCCUCUCUUUGAGUUACCUGCCCGCCUGCUGAAUUCCCUUGUGACUAAGGCCACAUACGUGGAAGAGGGUUUUAGGCAGAGACCGUGGUCAUUCCCUUCAUGCGAAGGGUGCUGUCGGGAGCCAGCCUCAUCUGUACCCAGCCCUGUCCAUCCGAGAUGACUCUCGAACCACACGGCUUCUAGACAGAAGUCGUAGGUGCCCACCCUUAAGGAUGGAAUAAUAGGGGGGCUCACAGGCAUGAUUGACAUAUUUUAUUUGUCUCAGGUCACACAAAAAUUGGAAUCUUGGACACAAAUUACCAAGGGAGAUCCUGAAUGUUACCGAGGAUCUAGGUUUGCAUCAACUGGGAUUGUAAUAUUUGUGGGGAUCUGGAGUCAAUAGUGUGAGACAUGGAAAUCCACAUUGCCCAAGGCAGUCUGGUGAGCUCAAGCUCGGUCCAGAGCUGUAAGAGACCAAAAAAAAAAAAAAAAA
RNAcentral lists this long non-coding RNA (2819 nucleotides) under Sus scrofa (pig). Its description in RNAcentral is "lncRNA (ENSSSCG00065024622.1)". The record is from RNAcentral. Lineage: Eukaryota; Metazoa; Chordata; Mammalia; Artiodactyla; Suidae.